GUGUUGACAAAAUACAGAGGAAUGAAAGUGUCAGAAAGGAGCUAAAUGGAGUGAGAAGGCUCAAAACACAUAAAUGAGAUUUACUUGGAAUAAUAAAGUAAUAGUGAAAACCAGAGGGGAAUAAAACUAUGAAGUGAGCAGCUGUGGAGUUAACAGGGAAAAAAAAAAAGAAAAAAGAAAGAGAGAAAACAACAUUUGUUGGGAGACACUGAGGAAGUGGAGACACAGGAAAUGGAACAGAAAAUCUAGAGAAAAAGUCAAAAAACAAGCAAUGUCUUCCUUCAAACCACUCCCUUCCAGAAACCGAAAGUUCUGCAUGCAGCUCUGCUGCUACCCUGGCCUUGCACUUGGCCUGGUACUCUAAAUGAAGCAUGAAAAGGCACAGAAUGGAGUCAGUUGCAACAAGGUAAUGACUGCCCAGCAACUCCGCAGAGACAAACCCCCAAACCCCAACAACCACAACACUGAUGCUUUCCUCAGCCUCCAAAAUCAAAAAGGGGAAGACACGCUAUUAACUAGAGUCAGACCAGUGGUGCAUGUAGGCAAUCUUAUGAUAGCAUGCAUCCUUAGCACUUCUAAAUUUCAGUGUUAUCUCUCGCAUCACGAGAAAGGAAAUCUCAUCCUCAUUAUUAGUCCAUAUCUGACCCGUGUGCUGUCUCUUUUGGCAUUAGUCACUUUCCAUGUCUUUUUUCAAAACAUUUUCUAUUUCCCCCAUUUGGGCAAGAUGCGUGAUGCCCUCUAGAGGUCCGCUGAGCUGCAACGGGCAACGCAUACCUCAUUGCAAACAGCAGAUGACAAGUAACAACAAGUUGCCACCCACACUGGAGGUAAUCCAGUAAAGGACUAUCUUCAGAAAAGAUAAACUGGGUUAUCUCCUCUGUACAGAGGUGCAGGCUGCAACAGAUGAGCCUUCUGUAGUCAUUGAUGCUUGCAGCUUGUUGCAAAGCAGCAGAUCACAUGCAAACAGAUUCUCAUACAAUCUCUGCCUGGCUACUUCCACUCAGAACCUGAUUCAACUACAUCUGGUGCUGGCACAGUGCUCCAAAAAGCUCUGGGUAGAGAGGAAAAAGUUUAUAGAAAGGAGGCACUGCCAAUUCAGAUGCCUUUUCAUGUGUACUUUGCUUCAUUUUAAGGAAGCCUAAUGUUGAAGCUUCCUCAUUGCAUCUCUGCACAUCUACCCUCCUGCAGGAAGGCUUGUGACAGAACCAGUAUGUCACCCUCCUGCUAAUGAAGAAAAGCCAUCAUCCAAAGUAAUUUAAGCCAUUCAGGAUGGCCAGGUUCAUCAAGACAGCUAUGACUGUGAUUAAGAUCCUAGCUGAUGCAAUCGUGUUCAAAGUCUUUUCGCAUCUUUUGCUGAUGGAGACACAAGGUUGCCAAGCUGAAGUUCAGACCUUAGAAGAAAAAAAAAUUGCUCUUUGGAGCUCCUGUCUCUCAGAUUAUAGUGUCAGAUUAAAGAUCCUUAACUAGGUAUUGAGACUAAAUGAGAUAGGCAAUGAACUCUGGCUUCAGAAAACUUAAGGAUCUUUAUGUCAGCCUGAAGUGAGCUCUAGAGAGGAGUGGGUACUUGCCUGGUCUGCCUAUUGCUGCUGCUGUGGUUUACUUUUCUGUGUAACACCGGAGUCAGUCCUUUUGCUCAUGUAAGGAAUCAUAGGACUCAUAACACCUCACAGAGCAAGGAUUUUGGCCUCCAGGAGGCUUCUGGAUAUACUGCUACACAGAGCUGCUAAUGCUUUAGGCUUCUUUCUCCUCUUGCAUGCUUCCUCCAGUACCUGGAAGCAAUUCCCUCUCAGUACCGUUUUAGGUAGUGGGGAUGAACUUUCUUAGUGGCAGCUGCUCUGAUUUUCUGUCUACUCCUGUACUGUUUGUAAAGGUGCCAGGUAAUUACUCAAGACUGAAAAAUCUAUGUCAAAGCAAUCAGUAGUGUCACCUCGUUGACUUCAGAGAAAUUGCAACAGAAAUUAAUCUGAAUCUACUAUACUUCCUUUCCCUGUAGCAAAUGGUAAAAACCUAUGUAACCCUGCCUGCAGGCAGCAACAAGCAAAAAAAACCACUCCAACCACAUGUGUGGGGGCUUUACUACUCUGAAGUGCCACUUUUUCCCUCAAAUCCCCCCAAAACUGAUGGUUAAUAUUAGCAGUUGAACUGAAGCAUCAGGACACUGAGAUGCAAGGGGGGACCUGAUAAUAUCACUGUUCAUUCUCCUCUUUCCCUGUCCAUACACAGAGAUAGGCAUCAAGGGUCAUUGCUGGAAUUAGGGUCAGCAGAGAAAACACACAAACACAAGAGAAGUUUUACAUCUGAACUUGUGGAAAUGCACAUUGUCUGCCUUGCUGUCUGGACAACAUACAGAAGAGCGGGGAAGGAUUUCAGCAGAGAGCUUUAAACCAUCUGCAAAUAGAUAAUUAACCUUGCUCUAAAUGCUAUUUAAUUUUUGCACUUUAUUUUCCCCAGAGAUCUUUAUAUCUAUCCAAAACCAGUCUGUUGAAAGAAAGAGGACAGAAAAGGAACUGUUGUGGUGGAUGCUGGUUUUACAGAACAAGUUGGCAAACUAUGUGCAAAUAAAAAAAAAAAAAAAAUUCUCCUGGAGCA
This 2589-nucleotide long non-coding RNA is filed under the name Phasianus colchicus (ring-necked pheasant). Its description in RNAcentral is "lncRNA (ENSPCLG00000010460.1)". Lineage: Eukaryota; Metazoa; Chordata; Aves; Galliformes; Phasianidae. The record is from RNAcentral.